GAUGAACGCUGGCGGCGUGCCUAAUACAUGCAAGUCGAGCGAACAGAUGAGGAGCUUGCUCCUCUGACGUUAGCGGCGGACGGGUGAGUAACACGUGGAUAACCUACCUAUAAGACUGGGAUAACUUCGGGAAACCGGAGCUAAUACCGGAUAAUAUAUUGAACCGCAUGGUUCAAUAGUGAAAGACGGUUUUGCUGUCACUUAUAGAUGGAUCCGCGCCGCAUUAGCUAGUUGGUAAGGUAACGGCUUACCAAGGCAACGAUGCGUAGCCGACCUGAGAGGGUGAUCGGCCACACUGGAACUGAGACACGGUCCAGACUCCUACGGGAGGCACCAGUAGGGAAUCUUACGCAAUGGGCGAAAGCCUGACGGAGCAACGCCGCGUGAGUGAUGAAGGUCUUCGGAUUGUAAAACUCUGUUAUUAGGGAAGAACAAAUGUGUAAGUAACUAUGAACGUCUUGAAGGUACCUAAUCAGAAAGCAACGGCUAACUACGUG
This 497-nucleotide ribosomal RNA is filed under the name uncultured bacterium. RNAcentral describes it as "partial 16S ribosomal RNA". It matches the Rfam family "Bacterial small subunit ribosomal RNA", at positions 28 to 507 of the family's 1533-position model. The record is from RNAcentral.